Molecule: long non-coding RNA, 293 nt
Filed under: Zostera marina
Lineage: Eukaryota; Viridiplantae; Streptophyta; Magnoliopsida; Alismatales; Zosteraceae
Description: long non-coding RNA (ZMAR_LNC000972)
Source: RNAcentral
AUCUAGUUCCAGGCCAAUAGAACUAUGUGUUUAUAGUCCAACUCUGAUCAGGAGCGACUCUUUCUGUGUUAUCAUCAAGGCCGAAGCGACAAGAUGAAGGGAGAUUAUUAAGGCCCAAAGCGACAAAAUAAUUCCCAUCCAUUAAGGCCAAAGCGACAAAAUGGAGCGACUCGCUAUCAGAGUCUGAUUCUGACCAAAGCGACAGAAUGCGUGGAUCCUGACCAAAGCGACAGGAUCUAGUUCACUAUCAGAACCAAUGUUUAUAGUCCACCCUGAUCAAGAGCGACUUUACG